UACGUAGGGUGCGAGCGUUAAUCUGAAUUACUGGGCGUAAAGCGUGCGUAGGCGGCUUUGCAAGUCAGAUGUGAAAUCCCCGGGCUCAACCUGGGAACUGCAUCUGUGACUGCAUCGCUGGAGUGCGGCAGAGGGGGACGGAAUUCCGCGUGUAGCAGUGAAAUGCGUAGAUAUGCGGAGGAACACCGAUGGCGAAGGCGAUCCCCUGGGCAUGCACUGACGCUCAUGCACGAAAGCGUGGGGAGCAAACAGG
Molecule: ribosomal RNA, 253 nt
Filed under: uncultured bacterium
Lineage: Bacteria
Description: partial 16S ribosomal RNA
Rfam family: Bacterial small subunit ribosomal RNA
Source: RNAcentral